GAAAAGUGCAUCAAUGUCAGGAGUUUUAUCUGGUGUCUGCUUCCCGGUGCUGCUUUGAGCUUUACAAGAACUUGUAAAAGGUUUCCUACCAAGCUUGGAUGAGCUGGACAGGUCUUGCUUCUCUCCAUGUUCAGUCUUCUGCAGCAGGGCACCACAGCGAUGGAUACUUUCAUUACUUCUCCCUAUGUUCACAUCCAAAGGGCCCAAAAAGUUGUCAGAUUUCUGAAACAGCCACUUAGUGGUCAGUGAUGUGGGGUGGGGCAUGCCCUCGUCCUGAAGACUGGCUCUGCGGUGUGCAGAGGUGGAGAGGCUGGAAGGGGGCAUGAUGAAGCACUGAGCAGGAUGAAACAAGCUUUUACAUUCCAGUGGAGACGACGGCAGCAAAAAAGGACCCUAAGGUGACGUUACACUCCUUCUGGUGGCAGUACUGAAAACACACGGC
Molecule: long non-coding RNA, 442 nt
Organism: Monopterus albus (swamp eel)
Lineage: Eukaryota; Metazoa; Chordata; Actinopteri; Synbranchiformes; Synbranchidae
Exons: 3
Source: RefSeq, a predicted model, not a curated record